Long non-coding RNA from Bufo bufo (common toad), 162 nucleotides. RefSeq lists it as uncharacterized. Lineage: Eukaryota; Metazoa; Chordata; Amphibia; Anura; Bufonidae. The record is from RefSeq and is a predicted model, not a curated record. The transcript is spliced from 4 exons.
AUUCUUUCCUCCAAUGAGCUUUCCCGACUCUGAGUGAAACUGAGUCUCAGAGUUGGGAAGGCUCGUUGGAGGAACGAGUGAAAUGUUUUCGGGAGGUCUACAGUAAGUCCAGUUGCCUUGAUUUAUUCUUUACAGAUAAACCAUGGCCUGGAUAAAUUAGAA